Molecule: unclassified non-coding RNA, 337 nt
Filed under: soil metagenome
Description: partial contains 5.8S ribosomal RNA, internal transcribed spacer 2, and large subunit ribosomal RNA
Rfam family: 5.8S ribosomal RNA (bases 1-120)
Source: RNAcentral
GAUGAAGAACGUAGUGAAAUGCGAUAAGUAAUGUGAAUUGCAGAAUUCAGUGAAUCAUCGAAUCUUUGAACGCACAUUGCGCCCCUUGGUAUUCCAUGGGGCAUGCCUGUUCGAGCGUCAUUUGUACCUUCAAGCUCUGCUUGGUGUUGGGUGUUUGUCUCGCCUCUGCGUGUAGACUCGCCUCAAAACAAUUGGCAGCCGGCGUAUUGAUUUCGGAGCGCAGUACAUCUCGCGCUUUGCACUCAGAACGACGACGUCCAAAAGUACAUUUUUACACUCUUGACCUCGGAUCAGGUAGGGAUACCCGCUGAACUUAAGCAUAUCAAUAAGCGGAGGA